UCAAUCACCAAUCUUUUAUUACUAUCUGUAAACAUAUGUUAUGCCCCAAAGAAAGACUAUAGGUACAAAAUUGACACCUUAAUUUUGAGCACUAAUAACUCUUUUAUAAAAACUCCAAAUCAUAAAAAAUUUAUAUCCAAUUUGUAUACAAAAUCUUAAACUUGUUGAUCCUAGCCUCCAAAGCUCAAAUGACUUUGAAAGAAAAAUCCUAAUCCCUAAUAAGGCCUCGGGUUGUCUCCUUGAAGCCCAUUGAGCAUGGCCUUCGACCAAUAAGAAUGAAGAUUCCCAUUCUUUGCCUUCAUCCAACCAUACCUUGCUUUCAUUCCUCUCAAUAAGCCUCAUACUAGUUAAGAUUUUCUUCUUUAGGUUCUUAUCUCUUCUCAAGGCUUCAUAUUAGACAUUUAUGUCUUAUAAUUUUUUUAAAUAUUAUAAUCAAAAAAGAUAAAAUUCAAAAUAAAGUUUCUUAUAUCUAUUUUUUUUAAAAUUAAUCUAUUAAUCAUUCUAACAUACACCAAGACUUAUAAACAUAUUAUAUGUUCUAACUAAUUUUUACAUACUAUAAAAAAUUACAAUACAACAUCCACCCCCUCCAAACAUGCACAUCCUCUGAUAUGUGCCAAUCUUACCAUCUCUGUUUUCUUCAUCUUCAUCUCUUUUUGCAUCUUCUUCUUAGUUUAAAUAUAGUAUUUUAAAAUUUGAAAGAUUAUUUGGAACAAAUCUACCAUCUCUUCUUUUAAAUGCCUUGAUCUAUUUUCUAGCUAUAGAUAAUUUCAACAUCACACCAUCCAUCUCAUGAAAUAUAUAUGUUUCAUUGUGUUGCAUUGUUGCAACUAUAUAUGAUUUAAAUUAUCUUCAAGUAAAUUUCUUCUAUAUAUUAUAUUGCUGUUUUAAAAUACCAUUAAAAAUCUUCAUUCACAUAUCUCCUAUAUUAUUUGAAACUUUCAAUAUCUAUUUCUGAUUGAUAUCAAUAGACCAUUUCUCUCUAUCAAAAAGUCUUCUAGAUAUGAUUUUUUUUCUCAAAGUCAUGAACAAUCAAAGCUAAAAUCAUAUCUUCAAGCUCUCCAAGCUUGACCUUUGUCCAAAAUAAAUGAUAAUAAUCCACCUUCCCUUCUUUACUACACUCAAAGUUGUAGUUAUCAGCACAAAUAAG
RNAcentral lists this long non-coding RNA (1150 nucleotides) under Physcomitrium patens. RNAcentral describes it as "long non-coding RNA (PPAT_LNC011672)". The record is from RNAcentral. Lineage: Eukaryota; Viridiplantae; Streptophyta; Bryopsida; Funariales; Funariaceae.